This 21-nucleotide unclassified non-coding RNA is filed under the name Mus musculus (house mouse). RNAcentral describes it as "oocyte_clustered_small_RNA12129". Lineage: Eukaryota; Metazoa; Chordata; Mammalia; Rodentia; Muridae. The record is from RNAcentral.
UAAUGGCCCAGGACUGAAGGA